This 360-nucleotide small RNA is filed under the name Histoplasma capsulatum. Its description in RNAcentral is "hypothetical RNA". RNAcentral also lists the same sequence under 1 other name. Lineage: Eukaryota; Fungi; Ascomycota; Eurotiomycetes; Onygenales; Ajellomycetaceae. The record is from RNAcentral.
CUAAUAAUUUUCCUUCCUAUUAAUCUGAUAGACGCACGGUGAUCUUUGCUGUGGGAAACCACAUUUAUGAGUUGUCUCCAACGGAAGUACAGGAGAUGCACGACGGAUCUGCCAACAUCAAAAAGGGUUUAUGGUUAAACUGAGGUAAUAGGCGGACAGACAUACUAUUUUUGGACCGGCUGAAGUAAAUUGGGAAUAAAGGCUCUUUACUCAGGGUAUUGAGCUAACCGGGACCGCUCUGUGCGCUCAGAACGCCUCAAGUAAGCGGGAGUAUCAACUUUUUCGUUCCUUUCGUUGUCACAGAAUGACCAUGUCUUUGAUCAUUUUCCUCUCCUCAAGCUCAAUUGAUGACUGCACGGA